RNAcentral lists this unclassified non-coding RNA (336 nucleotides) under soil metagenome. Its description in RNAcentral is "partial contains 5.8S ribosomal RNA, internal transcribed spacer 2, and large subunit ribosomal RNA". The stretch from base 1 to 120 matches the Rfam family "5.8S ribosomal RNA", at positions 35 to 154 of the family's 154-position model. The record is from RNAcentral.
GAUGAAGAACGCAGCGAAAUGCGAUAAGUAAUGUGAAUUGCAGAAUUCAGUGAAUCAUCGAAUCUUUGAACGCACAUUGCGCCCGCCAGUAUUCUGGCGGGCAUGCCUGUUCGAGCGUCAUUUCAACCAUCAAGCCCCCGGCUUGUGUUGGGGACCUGCGGCUGCCGCAGGCCCUGAAAAGCAGUGGCGUGCUCGCUGUCACACCGAGCGUAGUAGAUUUCAUCUCGCUCAGGGCGUGCUGCGGGUUCCGGCCGUUAAACCACCUUCAUAACCCAAGGUUGACCUCGGAUCAGGUAGGAAGACCCGCUGAACUUAAGCAUAUCAAUAAGCGGAGGA